ACGCGCGCUCCAAAUCCUGGGGUGGGCGGGGGCUGGAGAAGGGACGCGAGGAAACCCGAAGAGCAUUCAUUUUCUCUUUCCCAGUAAACCUGGGUUUGGGCAGAAGCCCGAUUUCUCGCCAGCAAACUGCUCUCCGAGGCUACCGAGCGUUCCCGCCACGCCACAGGAACCGUUUCAGCUCGCCCUCGAGCUCUAGGGACCCCUCCACAGCGGGGCCUCCUGGAAUUCCCCGCCGGUCUCCGCGAGCACACUCGGCGGGCUGGUGCAGCCAAAACUACCUUCACCUGGCGGUGUCCUCCUCCCUCAGAGACAUCCAGACAUUACCCUCAAAACUGGAAGGGAGGACUCUGAGUGAUCUAGAAAUCAGUGGGGCAGGGAGGGAGACACACAGCAGCUUCCCUCAGGUGGGAUCUCUAAUAAGAGGCUGGCAGAAAAGUUCCUGUUCUUCCCAUACUCUGCCUAGCCCUCAGGUCUCAGAGAGAAUCACUUCCAUUCCACCUACCUCACAGGAUGGCUGUGCUAUUCAUUCAACUAUUUUUUUAUUGAGUACUUGCUAUGUGCCAAACACUGUUUUGGCACAGUGGAUGU
This is a long non-coding RNA of Saimiri boliviensis boliviensis (Bolivian squirrel monkey), 588 nucleotides long. RefSeq lists it as uncharacterized. The record is from RefSeq and is a predicted model, not a curated record. NCBI's taxonomy places the organism in Eukaryota, Metazoa, Chordata, Mammalia, Primates, Cebidae.